Molecule: long non-coding RNA, 675 nt
Filed under: Citrus x clementina
Lineage: Eukaryota; Viridiplantae; Streptophyta; Magnoliopsida; Sapindales; Rutaceae
Description: Citrus clementina (C. clementina) long non-coding RNA (CCLE_LNC005492)
Source: RNAcentral
GGGGGGAGUGGAUUCCCACUCCCACCUCCCCCCAUGGGAGUGGGAAUCCCACUCCCCACUCCAAAAUUGAGUGGGAUCCACGGAUUCCCACUCCCACUCCCCUUUUUUUUAAGAUAGGUAAACACUGGAGUGGGAGAAAUCCACACUCCACACUCCCACUCCAAAAAAUAAACAGUACCUUAGAAGAUAGCAGCGAAUAACAUUGGGCACUGUAGGGCAUUCCUUGAACUUUCUUUGCACCUGUGAAUCAGUACCCUUGGAUCUGCACCAAUUUUUUUAAACGAAGAUCUCGCGGUUGCUAAAACCAGACCAGGAGUCAGGACCAAAUCAUUUUGAUACAACGAUUGCGACAGCCCCUCAUUCAUUAUAAGAUUCCCACUGGUUCACUUCUCAGCAAGCUGGGCAAGAAGCUUGGCCAAUAAGAUUCGAUAGACACAAUUGAGUGUGAUCUUCUCUGCAGUAAUGAUCGAUGAUGCCAUCAUUUGUGGAGGUUCGAAUAGAAAGUAUGAUAAUAAGGGUAAAUUUGAGGACUGUAUGGGGUUUAUUGAGAGGAAAAAUUAUUUUAAAAUUAAUAAUAAAAUUAACUGAGAGAUGAGGGUUGAUAAAAUAAAUUAAAGGUUUUUCAAGAUAUCGCAUAUAUGGAGCUCCUUGAAGAAAGGUUGUAAUACAUAAUAA